GAGCGGACGUAGCAAUACGUCAGCGGCAGACGGGAGAGUAACACGUGGGAACGCGCCCUUCGGUUCGGAAUAACUCAGGGAAACUUGGGCUAAUACCGGAUACGCCCUUACGGGGAAAGAUUCAUUGCCGAAGGAACGGCCCGCGUCCGAUUAGCUUGUUGGUGAGGUAACGGCUCACCAAGGCGACGAUCGGUAGCUGGUCUGAGAGGAUGACCAGCCUCACUGGGACUGAGACACGGCCCAGACUCCUACGGGAGGCAGCAGUGGGGAAUAUUGGACAAUGGGCGCAAGCCUGAUCCAGCCAUGCCGCGUGAGUGAUGAAGGCCCUAGGGUUGUAAAGCUCUUUCAGCGGGGAAGAUAAUGACGGUACCCGCAGAAGAAGCCCCGGCUAACUUCGUG
Molecule: ribosomal RNA, 399 nt
Filed under: uncultured bacterium
Lineage: Bacteria
Description: bacterial SSU rRNA
Rfam family: Bacterial small subunit ribosomal RNA
Source: RNAcentral